GCUUGGCAUACAUAUGAAUAUUCAAGUACAUACAAGUCUAUGAGCAAUUAGAUGCUCUCUAAGUUCCACAUAAGACCAUAAACUGCAAGUACAAUAACUUCUUCCACCACUUUUCUAGUACCACUGCCACUAGUCCAACUACUACUAUAGUAAUACUACUACCACUGUUUGCAUCAAAAGCAGAUUCAAGGUAUCCCCAGAUCUAGCCAUUGCUUCAGACAUAGCAAACAGAAAUAACCCAGAAAAAAAAAUUUAAAAAUAAAACAGCUAACCCUAACUAUGCUACUAAAAAACCAUAACUUGUACCAAAAGAAAAAGAAAAGAAAAGUACCCACAUACAAGGUAAUGACUAUGAAGAGAGUAGCAAUAUUGUAGGCUGCUUGAUGAAAGGGCUUUUUCUUCUUCUUCUUCU
RNAcentral lists this unclassified non-coding RNA (412 nucleotides) under Hevea brasiliensis (rubber tree). Lineage: Eukaryota; Viridiplantae; Streptophyta; Magnoliopsida; Malpighiales; Euphorbiaceae. The record is from RNAcentral.